Molecule: ribosomal RNA, 788 nt
Filed under: Porina sp. Orange 20628
Lineage: Eukaryota; Fungi; Ascomycota; Lecanoromycetes; Ostropales; Porinaceae
Description: SSU rRNA
Rfam family: Bacterial small subunit ribosomal RNA
Source: RNAcentral
UAUUGGUCAAUAGCCUAACGGGUGAACCAGCAACUUGGACGAAUGGAAAGGCGCGAGCCACAUGUGAUAAUACAUUAUUGCAACAGUAACUACGUUACAUAAAGUUCUAGAUAAGUAUUUGAUUAUGACAUAAUUUAUCUAUGAGUCUUGACCAAAUCACGUGCCAGCAGUCGCGGUAAUACGUGGAAGACAAGUGUUGUUCAUCUUUAUUUGGUUUAAAGGGUACCUAGACAGUUAAUCAAGCCUAAAACAUGGAACUAAUUAUACUAGAGUUUUAUGGGAGAAGGUUAGCACGAUGAGUGUAGAGAUGAAAUACGUUUAUACCAUCGAGAGACUGGCAACGGCGAAGGCAACCUUUUAUGUAAUAACUGACGUUGAGGGACGAAGGCUCGAUCGAAGAAACAGGAUUAGAUACCCAAGUACUGUGGGCAGACAAUGAUGAGUGUCAUAGACAAGUAAAUUAAUAAAAUAUAAAUAAGUAUUAUAUUAUAGUUUGUGUAUAAAUGAAAGUGUAAGCACUCCACCUCAAGAGUAACAUGGCAACAUAGGAACUGAAAUCAUUAGACCGUUUCUGAAACCAGUAGUGAAGUAUGUUGUUUAAUUUGAUGAUCCACAAAGAACCUUACCGCGCCUUGAAUAGAUUUCUUAAAAGAGAAAUUUACAGGAGUUGCACGGCUGUCCAGUUGAUAUCGUGAGAUUUUGGUUAAUUCCAUUAAAUCAACGUAAACCCUUACUUUAUUUUUUCUUAUAUAAAGUAGCUCGCCAAUUUUCAUUGGAUAAUAUAAUAG